Molecule: ribosomal RNA, 253 nt
Filed under: uncultured bacterium
Lineage: Bacteria
Description: partial 16S ribosomal RNA
Rfam family: Bacterial small subunit ribosomal RNA
Source: RNAcentral
UACGAAGGAUUCGAGCGUUAUCCGGAUUUAUUGGGUUUAAAGGGUGCGUAGGUGGACUAAUAAGUCAGUGGUGAAAGCCCGCAGCUUAACUGCGGAACUGCCAUUGAUACUGUUAGUCUUGAGUACAGUUGAGGUGGGCGGAAUGUGUCAUGUAGCGGUGAAAUGCUUAGAUAUGACACAGAACACCGAUUGCGAAGGCAGCUCACUAAGCUGUAACUGACGCUGAGGCACGAAAGCGUGGGGAGCAAACAGG